CCGGGUGGCCCAUACCUUUAGGGCCACCCAGUGAGCAUGUUCCAGCAGGGGUCCGGUCGGCGCUGUGGCCCUUUAACAGCGCGACCGGGUCCUUGCUUAACGGCUGCAUGGGAGGAAGUGACGUCCGCGAAUCACUUCCUCCCACCUCAAAGAUAUCGGGCCGCGCGGGAGGCUGCUGAGCCAGCAUCCAGUGAGGAGGGGGAGCAAGAAGAGCC
Non-coding RNA from Pelobates cultripes (western spadefoot toad), 215 nucleotides. NCBI's taxonomy places the organism in Eukaryota, Metazoa, Chordata, Amphibia, Anura, Pelobatidae. The record is from the annotation of a GenBank genome assembly.